CUGGAGGUAUCAGAAGUGCGAAUGCUGACAUAAGUAACGAUAAAGCGGGUGAAAAGCCCGCUCGCCGGAAGACCAAGGGUUCCUGUCCAACGUUAAUCGGGGCAGGGUGAGUCGACCCCUAAGGCGAGGCCGAAAGGCGUAGUCGAUGGGAAACGGGUUAAUAUUCCCGUACUUGGUGUUACUGCGAAGGGGGGACGGAGAAGGCUAUGUUGGCCGGGCGACGGUUGUCCCGGUUUAAGCGUGUAGGUGUGUGUUCCAGGUAAAUCCGGUUCACUUUAACACUGAGGCGUGACGACGAGGCACUACGGUGCUGAAGCAACAAAUGCCCUGCUUCCAGGAAAAGCCUCUAAGCAUCAGGUAACAUCAAAUCGUACCCCAAACCGACACAGGUGGUCAGGUAGAGAAUACCAAGGCGCUUGAGAGAACUCGGGUGAAGGAACUAGGCAAAAUGGUGCCGUAACUUCGGGAGAAGGCACGCUGACACGUAGGUGAAGUGAUUUACUCAUGGAGCUGAAGUCAGUCGAAGAUACCAGCUGGCUGCAACUGUUUAUUAAAAACACAGCACUGUGCAAACACGAAAGUGGACGUAUACGGUGUGACGCCUGCCCGGUGCCGGAAGGUUAAUUGAUGGGGUCAGCGCAAGCGAAGCUCCUGAUCGAAGCCCCGGUAAACGGCGGCCGUAACUAUAACGGUCCUAAGGUAGCGAAAUUCCUUGUCGGGUAAGUUCCGACCUGCACGAAUGGCGUAAUGAUGGCCAGGCUGUCUCCACCCGAGACUCAGUGAAAUUGAACUCGCUGUGAAGAUGCAGUGUACCCGCGGCAAGACGGAAAGACCCCGUGAACCUUUACUAUAGCUUGACACUGAACAUUGAGCCUUGAUGUGUAGGAUAGGUGGGAGGCUUUGAAGUGUGGACGCCAGUCUGCAUGGAGCCGACCUUGAAAUACCACCCUUUAAUGUUUGAUGUUCUAACGUGGACCCGUAAUCCGGGUUGCGGACAGUGUCUGGUGGGUAGUUUGACUGGGGCGGUCUCCUCCUAAAGAGUAACGGAGGAGCACGAAGGUUGGCUAAUCCUGGUCGGACAUCAGGAGGUUAGUGCAAUGGCAUAAGCCAGCUUGACUGCGAGCGUGACGGCGCGAGCAGGUGCGAAAGCAGGUCAUAGUGAUCCGGUGGUUCUGAAUGGAAGGGCCAUCGCUCAACGGAUAAAAGGUACUCCGGGGAUAACAGGCUGAUACCGCCCAAGAGUUCAUAUCGACGGCGGUGUUUGGCACCUCGAUGUCGGCUCAUCACAUCCUGGGGCUGAAGUAGGUCCCAAGGGUAUGGCUGUUCGCCAUUUAAAGUGGUACGCGAGCUGGGUUUAGAACGUCGUGAGACAGUUCGGUCCCUAUCUGCCGUGGGCGCUGGAGAACUGAGGGGGGCUGCUCCUAGUACGAGAGGACCGGAGUGGACGCAUCACUGGUGUUCGGGUUGUCAUGCCAAUGGCACUGCCCGGUAGCUAAAUGCGGAAGAGAUAAGUGCUGAAAGCAUCUAAGCACGAAACUUGCCCCGAGAUGAGUUCUCCCUGAGACUUAGAGUCUCCUGAAGGAACGUUGAAGACGACGACGUUGAUAGGCC
RNAcentral lists this ribosomal RNA (1611 nucleotides) under Salmonella enterica subsp. enterica serovar Agona. Its description in RNAcentral is "partial 23S ribosomal RNA". It matches the Rfam family "Bacterial large subunit ribosomal RNA", at positions 1273 to 2862 of the family's 2925-position model. The record is from RNAcentral. Lineage: Bacteria; Pseudomonadati; Pseudomonadota; Gammaproteobacteria; Enterobacterales; Enterobacteriaceae.